UUUCUCCAUGUUGAAGUAGUGCUCCUUUGAUGUAGGAAGCACUUUCUAUUUCAUGUUGUUAGUUGAGGAGAGUGUUCCUCCAUGUUGAAGUAGUGCUCCUUUAAUGUAGGAAGCAGUUAUACUUCCUUUCUGUAUUUAAGCAAUAACAUUAAUGAAGAGUACAAGCUUCCAAAAUCAAUUAAGUCUUGAGCGCUUUAAGUCUCAGAGGUUCUAGGCUCCCUCUUUUAGAGCCUGAAUUGUUAAUGACUAGAAGUCGUAAAAAGACUCUUAACCCAAACACUCAAACUCCUGCCAUACCCUUAACCCACCGACCCAUAACUAGAUCCACAAUCCGGGACCAUAACAGUUUGGUAUCAGAGCCAGGAGUUAUGGGGGACUCUGUUCAAUAUCAACUCGCCAAGCUCUUUGAAUUGUUGUUGGCUGAGCAGCAAGCAAACAAAGACCGAAAUGAGAAAGUUGAGCAAUUGCACGCCAAAUUGAAUGCAAUGUCUUAAGAAUUGGAAUUGACUAAGAAAGGGUUGCAAUCUAGCAGCACUGGCAGUCAAGCAAAAUCAAGGUGAGAUAAGGGAAUUUCGGGUGCUUCGGUUUUUGAAAGUUCGGGAGGAAGUUCGGUAGUACCGAAAUUCACAAAGCUUGAUUUUCCACGUUAUGAUGGGCUGGAAGACCCUUUGGGGUGGCUUGCCCGAUGCCAGCAUUUUUUUAGGCACCAACAAACACCCGAAGAGGAGAAGGUGAGUUUAGCUUCGUACCAUUUGGAGGGAAUUGCUCAGCUAUGGUAUAUGCAGCUGCUGGAUGACAUUCCAGAUCCCAAUUGGGAUGAGUUUACACAUCAGUGUAAUCUUCGUUUUGGACCUCCAAUCCGCAACAACAAAUUAAGCGAAUUGGCGAAGCUAAAGCAAACUGGUUCUGUUGCAGAAUAUCAGAACCGUUUCGAAGCCUUGGUGUCACGCGCUGGCACCCUCACGCAGGAUCAAAAGGUCCAGUUGUACCUCAGUGGAUUGCAGGACUCCAUUGCUGUUGAAGUCGAGCUGCAUCAUCCAAAAGAUUUGGUGAAUGCAAUGAGCAUCUCCCGGCUGUAUGAACGGAAACUUUUCCUAAGUUCUCCGGCUGUGAGAGACACUCGUUGCUAUGCCUUCACAUCUGCACCUUGUGCCAACAAAUUGGUGAAGCGACUGAACCGUGAGGAGAUGGAAGAAAGACGGAAAAAAGGACUGUGUUUUAACUGUGAUGAACAGUUUGUUCGCGGCCACCAAUGUAAAAAGCUUUUCUGGAUAGACUUGGAGAUCGAAAAAAUAAAGGACAAAUUCUGAUCCGGAGCUAGAACAACUAGAGUUUUCAUUGAACGCCAUCACUGGAAUUCGAAAUCCUCAAUCCAUGCGACUACAGGAAUAUUGGAAUGGGGGACAAGUCUUUAUUCUAAUUGAUUAUGGCAGCACUCACAGUUUUGUGUCUGCAACAAAAGUCGAGGAACUUGGUGCUGAAGUAAACGGGCAGGAUGGCUUGAAAGUUAAUGUCGCCCACGGUGAGCAGCUGGACAGCCCAGGUAUAUGCAAGGGAAUCCCAAUUCUACUGGAUUCCCACUCUUUUUCCGUGAACUUAUUUGUUCUGCCACUAACCGAUUUUGAUGUGGUUUUGGGAGUUAACUGGCUUCGAACUUUGGGACCCAUUCUGUGGGAUUUUGCUGUCAUGAGAAUGUAUUUCUUUAAACAGGGAAUCUUGAUCGAAUUGCAAGGCAUAAUCCGUCCAAGCCGAUCACCAUUUUCUUCUCCGGUGAUCCUAGUACCAAAGGCAAACGGUUCUUGGCGUUUAUGUGUCGAUUACAGAGAAUUAAACGCCAAAACCAUUAAAGACAAAUUUCCAAUUCUUGUGAUAGAUGAGUUAUUAGAAGAACUAGGUGGUGUUAGAUACUUCACAAAAUUGGAUUUGCAUUCUGGUUAUUUUCAAGUGGGUAUGCGUCCUUUUGAUGUUGAGAAAACAGCUUUUCGGACGCAUUACAGCCACUUUGAAUUCCUGUCUUGGGCCAUUCUAGACCACCGUAUUAAAGGAGGAAGUCAGGAGGUUCUCAUCCACUGGAGUCAUUUUUCUCCUACCGAUGCUUCAUGGGAGAAGGUGCAGGCAUUCUCCGCCAAAUAUUCAGAUUUUCAGCUUGAGGACAAGCUUCCUUUGGGGGCGGGAAGUAAUGUUACCAAACCACUGCAAGUCUAUACCCAAUUCAGUCAUGGACCCAAGUCAAAGCAGCCACAUAUUGAGCCUCUAAAUUAGUCAAAUAAUUCAGUUAUUUUUUUAAAUAUCUUUUAGUUAAAUUGUUCCCUGUUUGUAGGAGGGUAUUCCUCCACUUUCUAUUUCAUGUUGUUAGUUGAGGAGGGUGUUUCUCCAUGUUGAAGUAGUGCUCCUUUGAUGUAGGAAGCACUUUCUAUUUCAUGUUAGUUGAGGAGAGUGUUCCUCCAUGUUGAAGUAGUGCUCCUUUAAUGUAGGAAGCAAUUAUACUUCAUUUCUGUAUUUAAGCAAUAACAUUAAUGAAGAGUAUAAGCUUCCAAAAUCAAUUAAGUCUUGAGCGCUUUAAGUCUCAGAGGUUCUAGGCUCCUUCUUUUAGAGCCUGAAUUGUUAAUGACUAGAAGUCGUAAAAAGACUCUUAACCCAAACACUCAAACUCCUGCCAUACCCUUAACCCAUCGACUCAUAACUAGAUCCACAACCCGGGACCAU
This 2706-nucleotide long non-coding RNA is filed under the name Manihot esculenta (cassava). RNAcentral's name for it is "long non-coding RNA (MESC_LNC011647)". Lineage: Eukaryota; Viridiplantae; Streptophyta; Magnoliopsida; Malpighiales; Euphorbiaceae. The record is from RNAcentral.